This 597-nucleotide unclassified non-coding RNA is filed under the name Hevea brasiliensis (rubber tree). The record is from RNAcentral. Lineage: Eukaryota; Viridiplantae; Streptophyta; Magnoliopsida; Malpighiales; Euphorbiaceae.
AAAAUACAAGGGCAUUUUGGUACACUAAACCCAAUAUAAGAGCUUUUGCAAACCCAUAAAACAAUAGAGGCCAAGGCUACAAUUUCUUCCAAAAAAUUCCCAUGCUUCAUUCUUUUAUAAACCACCACCUUCAUUCUCUUUAUUUGUAUUACAAAAUCAUAUCAUACCCAAAAUAUUAACAUCAUUAUUUUUCAAUUUGAUUAAAUAAAGAUCUAAAAAACCCUAGCUUUUUUUUUUUCUUUAUUUGAGAAGUAAUGGAGGGAGAAGAAAUAGAAUAUAGUUAAUAGACCCGUUUCCCCAAUCAUAUGGAGCAGCACAACCAAACACAGAACCAGAGCCACCACCUAACCCAUACCCACAGCCCAACAUGGGGUACCUGGGAGGAGCUCCUCUUAGCAUGCGCCGUCAAACGCCACGGUUUCAAGAACUGGGAUUCUGUCGCCAUGGAAGUCCAAACCAAAAGCUCCCUCCCCCACCUUCUCACCACCGCCGAGAACUGCCAGCAAAAAUACCAUGACCUCCACCGACGCUUCACCACCACCGCCACCACAUGUAACGAACAUGAUAUACAAGAAAAUAAUAACAAUAAUAAUAAUA